UUGCACGCUGGCGGCAUGCCUUACACAUGCAAGUCGAACGGUAACGGGCCUUCGGGUGCCGACGAGUGGCGAACGGGUGAGUAAUACAUCGGAACGUGCCCGAUCGUGGGGGAUAACGAGGCGAAAGCUUUGCUAAUACCGCAUACGAUCUACGGAUGAAAGCAGGGGACCGCAAGGCCUUGCGCGGACGGAGCGGCCGAUGGCAGAUUAGGUAGUUGGUGGGAUAAAAGCUUACCAAGCCGACGAUCUGUAGCUGGUCUGAGAGGAUGAUCAGCCACACUGGGACUGAGACACGGCCCAGACUCCUACGGGAGGCAGCAGUGGGGAAUUUUGGACAAUGGGCGCAAGCCUGAUCCAGCCAUGCCGCGUGCAGGAUGAAGGCCUUCGGGUUGUAAACUGCUUUUGUACGGAACGAAAAGCCUUCUUUUAAUACAGGAGGGUCAUGACGGUACCGUAAGAAUAAGCACCGGCUAACUACGUG
RNAcentral lists this ribosomal RNA (481 nucleotides) under uncultured bacterium. RNAcentral's name for it is "partial 16S ribosomal RNA". It matches the Rfam family "Bacterial small subunit ribosomal RNA", at positions 30 to 507 of the family's 1533-position model. The record is from RNAcentral.